Sarcophilus harrisii (Tasmanian devil) is the source of this 1485-nucleotide long non-coding RNA. RefSeq lists it as uncharacterized. Lineage: Eukaryota; Metazoa; Chordata; Mammalia; Dasyuromorphia; Dasyuridae. The record is from RefSeq and is a predicted model, not a curated record. The transcript is spliced from 3 exons.
GAAGACUUCACAUGUAGUGACAGAUUCAUAACGGUUUUUUUUUUGUGGUAGUAAAAAAUUGGAAGUAAAGUAGGGGGUUCAUUGAUUAGGGAAGCAAUGAACAAAUUGUGAUAUAUUCAUGUAAUAGAAUAUUAUAAUAUCCCAAGAUACUAUAACAUGGAAAGAUUCACCAAUUAAGAGCUGAUGUAAAUUAAGAAACACAGAAAGAUUCGUCAGUUAACGCAGUGAAGUAAUCAGAACCAAGAAAACAAUAUGCAUAAUAACUACGACAAUGCUCAUAAAAAGCAAAUGAAAACAAAGUUGAAUGCUGUGUGGUUGUAAUAACUGUUCUUAGCCCCAGAGAACAGAUGAGGAAAAGUACUUUGCUCUUUUUUCCUUGAAGAGGUAGAAUACUAUGGUUUCAGAUCAUUAUAUAUUCUAUCAGACUCAUUUGUGCAUAACGUGCUUGUACACAAUGCCUGGCAUGAAGUGUUUCAUAAAUGCCUGUUGACUGUUUUUGUGGCAAGGGAUCAGCAGAUGGGAGAAAAGGAUAGCAUACCUAAAAAUGACUCAUACAAAACCAAAGGGCAUCUAUAAAACAUUGAUUUUUAUAAACAAAGAAAAGAAAAUGGAUGUCUUGUAAUAAAAUAGUCUUCCCCACUUUUUUUUUUUCCCAAGCUGACAGCAUUAUAUCGGCUAUUUGUGGUUUCCGGGCAAGUCUUUUCAAAUUUUCAAAAUGGCUGAUUGGACAGAUGCUGGACAAAAUGGCAAAGUUUCUCAGAUUGGUAGACCAUGGAAAUACUGUGGACAUAUUGAGUAUAUACCUACAUUAGAGCAAAGGGCAUGACAAAGCCUCUCAUAUUAUUCUUUUGGACAAGAUAGAGACAAAUGGAUAGAAGUAUGUGCUGUGGGGAAUCUGUCCUUAUUCCUGCAUCAUUGACCAUUUUAAUUUCAGACACGGAAGAGAUGAAGGCAAAGAUGGCUUAUGAAAUCUGCAGAUGACACAAAUCUGGGAGGUAGAGAUGUAUGACAGGAUUCAAAAAGACAUUGACAAGCUAGAACAAUAGACUAAAUUUAACAAGAAGAAAUGUAAUGUUGAUAUAUGUAGACUUAUGUUAAAAAUUAGCUUCAUAGCCACUCGUGAAGAUUGGCUGCUAAAUCAAAAAAGGGUCCCCUCAGGAAGUCACAAUCAGAAAAAAAAAAAAAAAAAAAAAAAAGAAUUCAACAUCAGAACUGCACUAUUUCAGGUAAUACAAGUGUGACAUCAUUACUUCAAGCCAUUUAAGAGGUCUAUGCAUUGCGUAUGUGGAACGACCAAAGCUUCGGAGCCUCUAUUGCUGGAGACAAAUCACAAGAUCUUCAGGCAAAUGGAGGUGAAGGUGACUGGGGUGCGCAGUGACAGGACCGGCUGAAGAAAGUCGAUGAGUGUUGAUGGAAAAAUAAUGGCUGAAUGGAUGCUACACUAAUAAUGCUUUACAAACUGGUCCAGUUUAACUCCAUUAAGAA